Molecule: small nuclear RNA, 24 nt
Filed under: Arabidopsis thaliana (thale cress)
Lineage: Eukaryota; Viridiplantae; Streptophyta; Magnoliopsida; Brassicales; Brassicaceae
Description: snRNA_14125
Source: RNAcentral
UUUACAGAAAUCAUCUUACUUUAU